UUGUGUUUGGCCUACGAUUUUUCUUUUGUGAACCUCGUCAGGACGGAAACGGAGCAGCGAUAAGCAAUAAGAAAUUUGUGUGGUGCAUAAAUA
Molecule: signal recognition particle RNA, 93 nt
Filed under: Clostridia bacterium
Lineage: Bacteria; Bacillati; Bacillota; Clostridia
Description: signal recognition particle sRNA small type
Rfam family: Bacterial small signal recognition particle RNA
About the family: The signal recognition particle (SRP) is a universally conserved ribonucleoprotein involved in the co-translational targeting of proteins to membranes. Archaeal SRP consists of a 7S RNA and homologues of the eukaryotic SRP19 and SRP54 proteins.
Source: RNAcentral